This 238-nucleotide long non-coding RNA is filed under the name Carica papaya (papaya). Its description in RNAcentral is "long non-coding RNA (CPAP_LNC003154)". The record is from RNAcentral. Lineage: Eukaryota; Viridiplantae; Streptophyta; Magnoliopsida; Brassicales; Caricaceae.
UCAUAAAUAUAUUCUUUAUAACAUGUUACAGAUUCUUGGGGCUGUAACUUCCAAUUUUUCUACUUGUCUCAAUUCUUUAUGUUUUGUUGUAACUGGUAUUCAAAUGAUGGGUGAGUAUUACAGUGUAAGCAAUUUUAAAAGUUGAAUGAAUAUUUAUUUUCCUUUCUUCAAUUUCCCAUAAUGUUUACUUCCUUGUUUAUACAAUUGGAAUUUUUUGUAAUAUAUAUAUAUAUUUCCA